AAUCCAAAUUUCCAACUUUUCCAAUCCUCAAGUAAAUAGGAUAAAUCACUUUUUUCUCACUCUUCCCAUCUUCAUUCCAAGCACUUGUAAAUUUUUCAACAACAUCUUCACUUAACAACUCAACACCCUUUUCUUUUGCAGUUUGAUAAGCUGACCAUGACUUCAAGUAUGUAAAACAAGAAUCCAAGUCCAUAACUUUCUCAAUCUUGAACUCAAAUGGUCCAUUAUGAUCACAUCCAUCUAUAGCCUCAAAUGGAAAAUCAAUAGUUUCAUACUUUUCAUCGACCAAUUUUCUUGGUGAUUCCCAAUAAGGUCCAGCAUCACUUGUGUAAAAUUUAUCAAAUAUUGCAUCUACUGAGUUGUUUAUUUUAGGUGUAGUGUAACACCAUGAUGCUAUAACACCAUUUGGUUUCUUGAGUAACCAUUUAACAUGUUCAUAAAAAGUUGGUAGAUCAAACCAAUGCAUUGCUUGUGCAAUUGUUA
Molecule: unclassified non-coding RNA, 483 nt
Filed under: Hevea brasiliensis (rubber tree)
Lineage: Eukaryota; Viridiplantae; Streptophyta; Magnoliopsida; Malpighiales; Euphorbiaceae
Source: RNAcentral